UACGAAGGGUGCAAGCGUUGUUCGGAAUCACUGGGCGUAAAGCGCGCGUAGGCGGCUUGCCAAGUCAGAGGUGAAAUGCCGGGGCUUAACCCCGGAACUGCCUUUGAAACUGGCAAGCUUGAGACUCGGAGGGGAGUGGGGAAUUUCUAAUGUAGCGGUGAAAUGCGUAGAUAUUAGAAGGAACACCGGUGGCGAAGGCGCCACUCUGGACGAGUACUGACGCUGAGGCGCGAAAGCGUGGGGAUCAAACAGG
Molecule: ribosomal RNA, 253 nt
Filed under: uncultured bacterium
Lineage: Bacteria
Description: partial 16S ribosomal RNA
Rfam family: Bacterial small subunit ribosomal RNA
Source: RNAcentral